Molecule: ribosomal RNA, 450 nt
Filed under: uncultured bacterium
Lineage: Bacteria
Description: partial 16S ribosomal RNA
Rfam family: Bacterial small subunit ribosomal RNA
Source: RNAcentral
GUGGGGAAUAUUGGACAAUGGGCGAAAGCCUGAUCCAGCCAUGCCGCGUGUGUGAAGAAGGUCUUCGGAUUGUAAAGCACUUUAAGUUGGGAGGAAGGGCAGUAAGUUAAUACCUUGCUGUUUUGACGUUACCGACAGAAUAAGCACCGGCUAACUUCGUGCCAGCAGCCGCGGUAAUACGAAGGGUGCAAGCGUUAAUCGGAAUUACUGGGCGUAAAGCGCGCGUAGGUGGUUUUGUAAGUUGGAGGUGAAAUCCCCGGGCACAACCUGGGAACUGCCUCCAAAACUGCAUGACUAGAGUACGGUAGAGGGUAGUGGAAUUUCCUGUGUAGCGGUGAAAUGCGUAGAUAUAGGAAGGAACACCAGUGGCGAAGGCGACUACCUGGACUGAUACUGACACUGAGGUGCGAAAGCGUGGGGAGCAAACAGGAUUAGAAACCCCAGUAGUCC